UACAGUGCCUAGCACAAUGGGAUCCUGGUUCAUGACUGGGACUUCUAGAGACUAGAACAUAUAAACCAGUCAGUCAGUCAAUCAAAAACCCAACACGACCUAGAGUUGCAGAACCAGACCCUACACUGAACAGGUCCUACAAUAUCCUUCAGUUGCAGAAAAGCCAGCAGACAAGCUAUGAUUAUAGCUAGACAUCUCAGGAUACUGAUGACACAAACCACUUGAGCUGUGCUCUUCUAAUUUAGAACCCUAUAAGAUGUAUGAGUGUAUGAACUCAGGAAAGGGACCUGGGCAUCGUUGUAGACACCCCAAUGAAGAUCUCUCUCCUCAAUGUGUAGUCAAAUUAUAUAGCAGUUCAACAAAUAUCUACAUGGAUUUCCAUCAUUUUAAAAGAAGUCCUAUGUAUUGUUUCCACAGAAAGGAAGAGUGAAAUAAACAGAAAUAUAUACCCUUGUGAACACAUCUGCUCUCCUAACAGUGAUGCACAAGCAGUCGUACCCAACAUACAUUUCAAAACAGUUUAUCAGCACUAGCAAGUCUUGGUAAAGACAGAUUCAGUUAACUGUUAUUGCACUAUAAACCUGCUGAAAUUACAAAUGCCUGUACAUUAACCUGGACAACCUCAUCAUUACAAAUACACAGGCUGAUGCUGAUAGGUAUGGAAAGACCUCACCAGGGACUGACUUUACUGGACAAGCAAUUUAGGGAUAUUUGAUUUUUGAA
Molecule: long non-coding RNA, 723 nt
Organism: Mauremys mutica (yellowpond turtle)
Lineage: Eukaryota; Metazoa; Chordata; Testudines; Geoemydidae
Exons: 5
Source: RefSeq, a predicted model, not a curated record